GAAAUGCGAUAAGUAGUGUAAAUUAUAAAAUUCAGUAAAUCAUCGAAUCUUUAAACGCACAUUACGCCCUAUAGUAUUCCGUAGGGCAUGCCUAUUCGAGCGUCAUUUACACCUUCAAGCCUUGCUUAGUGUUGGGUGACUGUGGCCCCAUUAGGGCCACUCGCCUUAAAGUCAUUAGCGGCUAGUUCGUUGGCUUUAUAGCGCAGCACAAUUGCGUCCUUAAAGCCGCUAGACCAGCUCCUAGAAGCUAAUCUUUAAAUGUUUAACCUCGAAUCAGGUAGGGAUACCCGCUAAACUUAAGC
Molecule: unclassified non-coding RNA, 302 nt
Filed under: plant metagenome
Description: partial contains 5.8S ribosomal RNA, internal transcribed spacer 2, and large subunit ribosomal RNA
Rfam family: 5.8S ribosomal RNA (bases 1-105)
Source: RNAcentral